Molecule: ribosomal RNA, 509 nt
Filed under: uncultured bacterium
Lineage: Bacteria
Description: bacterial SSU rRNA
Rfam family: Bacterial small subunit ribosomal RNA
Source: RNAcentral
AGGGUUCGAUUAUGGCUCAGGACGAACGCUGGCGGUGCGCCUUAUGCAUGCAAGUCGAGCGAAGCUUUUCAGUAGUUUACUACAGAAAAUGACUGAGCGGCGAACGGGUGAGUAACGCGUGAGCAACCUACCUUAGUUACUGGGAUAGCCCGAGGAAACUCGGAUUAAUACCGGAUAUUCUUAUUUAAUCACAUGAUUUUUUAAGGAAAGGUCAGCCGAACUAAGAUGGGCUCGCGUUCUAUCAGCUAGUUGGUAGGGUAACGGCCUACCAAGGCUACGACGGAUAGCUGGUCUGAGAGGACGAUCAGCCACACUGGGACUGAGACACGGCCCAGACUCCUACGGGAGGCUGCAGCAGGGAAUAUUGUGCAAUGAACGAAAGUUUGACACAGCGACACCGCGUGUGGGAUGACGGAUCUAGGUUUGUAAACCACUUUCAGGAGGGAAGAAAAUGACGGUACCUCCACAAGAAGCCCCGGCCAACUACGUGCCAGCCGCCGCGGUAAUUC